UACGGAGGAUGCGAGCGUUAUCCGGAUUUAUUGGGUUUAAAGGGUGCGUAGGCGGGAUGCCAAGUCAGCGGUAAAAAUGCGGUGCUCAACGCCGUCGAGCCGUUGAAACUGGCGUUCUUGAGUGGGCGAGAAGUAUGCGGAAUGCGUGGUGUAGCGGUGAAAUGCAUAGAUAUCACGCAGAACUCCGAUUGCGAAGGCAGCAUACCGGCGCCCUACUGACGCUGAGGCACGAAAGCGUGGGUAUCGAAUAGG
This 252-nucleotide ribosomal RNA is filed under the name uncultured bacterium. RNAcentral's name for it is "partial 16S ribosomal RNA". It matches the Rfam family "Bacterial small subunit ribosomal RNA", at positions 524 to 776 of the family's 1533-position model. The record is from RNAcentral.